AAGAUGUUCCAAUUUAACAAGUUGUUGGGUACAAAAAGACUACCCCAUGGCCAUGGAAUUAAGAUGAGUGAAUAUAGAGUUAGUACUGAUAUGGAGUAAUUAAUACCAGUUGCCAGACCCAGUUGAGGCAUGCACUUAAUGAGCACUAAGGUAGGUAGGUAGGUAGGUAGGUACGUAGGUAGCAACUUGGAGCACCAUGAAAUCAUUUUUACAUUACUGUGAAAAUGAGUAUGAACUUGAAAUGAUUAUAAGCAUACUAAUUUUUCUUCUUCUAUCUGUAGGCUGCAGAAUUCGAUACAAAGAGCCAAAAUCAUUACUGGUUUAACCAGUUCGACCUGAAGGAGAAGAGAAUGAAAUCAUGGACUUGGAAUUUUAACAUUUAAGUUAUAGGGUUUGAGAUUUAGAGUUUAAGGUUUAUUCACCUUUCUUUUGUAUAUUGAUAAAUUUAUAUGGUUUAAACUGUUAAAUUUGGUUCUUAGACUUGGGAUUGGGAAAUAAAAUUAGAUAUGUUUUUCCUUUUUGCUUAUGUUCGUCUCAAACUUUCAAGUAUCAAGUGGCAGUGUAGUUUCCUUCACAUUUAAAGUAGAGUGGAAUGAAAAUAAAG
RNAcentral lists this long non-coding RNA (604 nucleotides) under Panax ginseng (ginseng). RNAcentral describes it as "long non-coding RNA (PGIN_LNC001115)". The record is from RNAcentral. Lineage: Eukaryota; Viridiplantae; Streptophyta; Magnoliopsida; Apiales; Araliaceae.